This 1179-nucleotide long non-coding RNA is filed under the name Dermacentor andersoni. RNAcentral describes it as "uncharacterized LOC126544765". The record is from RNAcentral. Lineage: Eukaryota; Metazoa; Arthropoda; Arachnida; Ixodida; Ixodidae.
GCACAAAAAUUCAAGCAGGGAAUGUCACUGCUUCUGUACGUAAUUCCUCAGCAAGAAAUCGUAUAGACAAUUCUAGAAGUACGUUGAUGUGUUGUGCAAAUGUUUUCACAGCUAACGUCAACGCGCGACGGCAUCCAAAUGAUCUGACUCGUGAGAAGAUUUUAGCUUGUAUGCAAACUUUGAUGCUUAUAGAUUGUCGCCAAGACAACCUGUAUUUCUUGUGUUUAGUGUUCUGUUUGUUUUCGUGCCUUUGACACGUUUAAUAACCGCCUGUGAUGUAAGAAUGAAAUAUUUAUUUGUCUAAGCGGAUGCAGCUUCUUGUAGCUGGCUGUACGAGAGCUUUCCACAAUUUGACGCGAUGUUGUUAAAUCACAAGUUUGCAGAUUCAGCAGUGAUUACAAUAAGCUGAACAUUUAUUGUUUAGGGAUGUCACAAUUUCCUGAGACGGAGGCAUCUCUGCACCACAAAGGAGACUGCGGCACUAUGCAGCCUGAACAGCACGACAAAGCAUCUGAUCUGCCUGCUUUGACAAGAUGUGGCUGGGCCUGCAGAAAGAGUGUAAGCACACUACUGUGUUGCUGAUCAGUGCUGGUGCUGAUCUCUACGUCUGAGUUGGCCUCACAACGUCCAGGCGCCACUGUGCUUUGCUUCAUUGACAAGGUGUGGCUGGGCCUGCAGAAAAGCUGUAAGCAGACUGCAGUGUUGCUGAUCAGUGCUGAUCUCCACGUCCGAGUUGGUCCCACAAUAUCCAGGCACCACGGUGCUUUCACAAGGUUCACAAUCGAAAUGGGUUAUUUAUUUGUGCUAGUAAGUGGAUGUGGGUAAACCAAGCCAAAACGGACAGCACGUUUGCCAGGGAGAUUGCCCGAUGCUUGUGGCAGGCACAGGAAUUAAUCCACAGGAGUGUUACGAGCAAAAGUAUGUAUGCGAAAGCUAAAGGAAGGUGGUGAUGCCAAGCCAGCGUUGACACCACAAAAUCUUGGUGCAUAUCUAAGUAGACCCUGUCCUGCUAGCUCAUGUUUUCAUAAGGAUUGCAAAGUGUUUGGAAGUUAAAGGAGUAAUGCCUAUCACACGGUGCUUUUUCUGCACGAAUAUAAUGGGCUGUCGGUAAGAUCGGGUUGUAUUGAGGUGAUCUCUCAUAUGGGCCGACACAGUUUACAUCUACACAUCAGGGGCAUG